This 577-nucleotide long non-coding RNA is filed under the name Hordeum vulgare. RNAcentral's name for it is "long non-coding RNA (HVUL_LNC020830)". Lineage: Eukaryota; Viridiplantae; Streptophyta; Magnoliopsida; Poales; Poaceae. The record is from RNAcentral.
UAACAACCAUGUAUUUCUGGAAUUUUAAAAUUCAAUAGAAAAUGAUUUCAAUGCAGAUUUGGCCUAAACAUGAGAAAUGCUAAUAAAUAGCAAUAGUAUUUGGAGCACUAAUCUGCUAAAAAGCUUAAAAUAGAAGCAAUUAAGUAAAUAAUGCAAAUUAGCAUAAACAUCUGGUGGCUCAACCGCAUGCAAAUAGGCCACGUAGGGUUGCCCAGCCAGGUGCAGCCUGGUCACCCGAAUGGAUAAGGAAGAGCAGCAGGGAUAUCCACACAAAAGUAGAUUCGAUCCCCAAUCCACAUGACCAAGACCGGAGGGACUCCAGCCGCGCUCUUCCUCGAAGGCACCUACGGUCGGUGGCCCGCACACGGACGACGGAAAGAACUCCAGCCGCGCUAUUACUCGUCGGACGAGUCGCCGUGAAGGCGGAUGCCAGGCACGGCGCCAUUGGAGAGGCUCCUUGCGAGUCCGAGCGCUGCUAGGCUCAAGUUCUCUCGCGGGCAGUGCGGCUGGUCGACGACGGGCUGCGGCUGCUCGACGCUGCAAAGGCGGUGGCCACGAGGCAGAAGGGCGGGNNNNN